AUGGAAACCUGUUUGAAGCUUAGCAAUUUUGAUACGCUGACAACAAACUCCAACGCGUAUUCAAAGACUUCUAUAGUGCAGAUAUUUAUGGUGCAUGUUUUAUCAAUAAUGAUGGUGCAUGUACACGGUCAGCCAUCCACUAAGCCCCUAUUGACCUACCAAAGACGUCGUGUUGUCACCCAAAAUCAGUCAGCUGACUCCCACGGGCCCCUUCGAGAAAGUUCUUCGACUGCUGAUCCAACACAGAAACCAGAAUCAGGCCCCUAUACGACACAGUACGCGCAUCCGUAA
Vicia faba (fava bean) is the source of this 291-nucleotide non-coding RNA. The record is from the annotation of a GenBank genome assembly. NCBI's taxonomy places the organism in Eukaryota, Viridiplantae, Streptophyta, Magnoliopsida, Fabales, Fabaceae.